RNAcentral lists this ribosomal RNA (449 nucleotides) under uncultured prokaryote. Its description in RNAcentral is "bacterial SSU rRNA". It matches the Rfam family "Bacterial small subunit ribosomal RNA", at positions 355 to 796 of the family's 1533-position model. The record is from RNAcentral.
UGGGGAAUAUUGCACAAUGGGGGAAACCCUGAUGCAGCCAUGCCGCGUGUGUGAAGAAGGCCUUCGGGUUGUAAAGCACUUUCAGCGAGGAGGAAGGGUUAGUAGUUAAUACCUGCUAGCUUUGACGUUACUCGCAGAAGAAGCACCGGCUAACUCCGUGCCAGCAGCCGCGGUAAUACGGAGGGUGCGAGCGUUAAUCGGAAUUACUGGGCGUAAAGCGUACGCAGGCGGUCAUUUAAGUCAGAUGUGAAAGCCCCGGGCUCAACCUGGGAACUGCAUUUGAAACUGGAUGACUAGAGUGCGACAGAGGGUGGUAGAAUUUCAGGUGUAGCGGUGAAAUGCGUAGAGAUCUGAAGGAAUACCGAUGGCGAAGGCAGCCACCUGGGUCGACACUGACGCUCAUGUACGAAAGCGUGGGUAGCAAACAGGAUUAGAUACCCCCGUAGUCC